UGCAUGGUGGUGUAGAUGGUAUCACUGCUGCCUUGCACCGAGAAGGUUCCUGGGUUUAAAUCCCGGCCUGCGUAG
Crenichthys baileyi (White River springfish) is the source of this 75-nucleotide non-coding RNA. NCBI's taxonomy places the organism in Eukaryota, Metazoa, Chordata, Actinopteri, Cyprinodontiformes, Goodeidae. The record is from the annotation of a GenBank genome assembly.